AAAAUAAUCCUACCCUUUGUGAAUUUUGUUUGUUUGAAUAAUUUUUUUUUUUAAAAAAUUAUUGGAGUCUUUCCCUUUAGAGUUUGCUUUUGAGUUUGUAAAAGAAUUCGAAAACAUCUAAAGGGGAUGUCAAUAAUUUUUUUUUGAAAAAAGACAUUUUUUAAAAUUAAACUUUUUGUAUUCAUUUGUCUAAAAAUUAUUUUUAUAAUAUAAAAACAACUUUUGACAAUGGAUCUCUUGGUUCUCGCAACGAUGAAGAACGCAGCAAAAUGCGAUAAGUAGUGUGAAUUGCAGAAUACGUGAAUCAUCGAAUCUUUGAACGCAUAUUGCACUUUUUUAGUUUACUAAAAAGUAUGUCUGUUUGAGUAUCAGUAAAAUAUUCUCAUAAAAAUCAUUGUAUUUUUAUGGUUAUGAGUGUUUUACAACGAUACAAGUUGUUUCACUUUAAAUUUUUUUUUAAUAUUGAAAUUUUUCUAAUUUUAAUAAUUAAAAUUGGAUAAAAUUUUCCCGUCAAAAGGAAUAACCUAAACAAUUUUAAAUGAUUAAUUUUAGCAAAGUUUUCGUAAAAAAGGAAAAUUUUUAUUAAAAUAACUUGAUCUCAAAUCAGAUAAGAGUACCCGCUGAACUUAAGCAUAUCAAUAAGCGGAGGAAAAGAAACUAACAAGGAUUCCCUUAGUAACGGCGAGUGAAGCGGGAAGAGCUCAAAUUUGAAAUCUUCAAGGUUUUACCUUGACGAAUUGUAGUUUAAAGAAGUGUUUUCUGCUGAAGUUUUGGUAAAAGUUCUUUGGAAUAGGACAUCAUAGAGGGUGAGAAUCCCGUAUUUGACCAUUAUUUUCAGCUUUGUGAUACACUUUCAAAGAGUCGGAUUGUUUGGGAAUGCAGUCCAAAAUGGGUGGUAAAUUUCAUCUAAAGCUAAAUAUUGGCGAGAGACCGAUAGCGAACAAGUACCGUGAGGGAAAGAUGAAAAGAACUUUGAAAAGAGAGUUAAACAGUACGUGAAAUUGUCAAAAGGGAAGCGUUUGACAUCAGUGUUGUUUUCUCGAAAAUCAAUUAAAAAUGGCUCGAUUUUGUAUUGCUUGAGACCUUAAAAGCUCACUGUACAUUUUUCGUGUCUUUUUUAAUGCACUUUUCGUUUAACAAGUCAACAUCAGUUUCUUUUGUUGUAAAAGGGUCAUUGGAAGGUGGCUUUCUUCUCGGAGAAAGUGUUUAUAGCCUUUGGCCUCUGCAAUCGGAGAGACUGAGGUCUGCAGCGUAGACUCUUCGGGGUUAGAUACAUUUGUGCUAAGUUAUAGCUUUUUAUAGACAACUUGUUGACUAUAAUUAGUCUUGUAGCUUACUCGCUUAUGCUAUUU
RNAcentral lists this unclassified non-coding RNA (1352 nucleotides) under uncultured Neocallimastigales. RNAcentral's name for it is "partial contains internal transcribed spacer 1, 5.8S ribosomal RNA, internal transcribed spacer 2, and large subunit ribosomal RNA". The stretch from base 594 to 1352 matches the Rfam family "Eukaryotic large subunit ribosomal RNA", at positions 1 to 617 of the family's 3401-position model. Lineage: Eukaryota; Fungi; Neocallimastigomycota; Neocallimastigomycetes; Neocallimastigales. The record is from RNAcentral.